CCUACGUGAGGCAGCAGUGGGGGAUAUUGCACAAUGGGGGAAACCCUGAUGCAGCGACGCCGCGUGUGGGAAGACGGUCCUCUGGAUUGUAAACCACUGUCCCCAGGGACGAAGAUGACGGUACCUGGGGAGGAAGCUCCGGCUAACUACGUGCCAGCAGCCGCGGUAAUACGUAGGGAGCAAGCGUUAUCCGGAUUUAUUGGGUUUAAAGGGUGCGUAGGCUGUGAGGUAAGUCAGCGGUGAAAUGCCCCCGCUCAACGGGGUGAAGUGCCAUUGAUACUGCCUUGCUGGAAUGCGGAUGCCGUGGGAGGAAUGUGUGGUGUAGCGGUGAAAUGCUUAGAUAUCACGAAGAACUCCGAUUGCGAAGGCAGCCUACUAAACUGCCACUGACAUUGAUGCUCGAAAGUGUGGGUAUCAAACAGGAUUAGAUACCCCUGUAGUC
This 442-nucleotide ribosomal RNA is filed under the name uncultured bacterium. RNAcentral describes it as "partial 16S ribosomal RNA". It matches the Rfam family "Bacterial small subunit ribosomal RNA", at positions 338 to 795 of the family's 1533-position model. The record is from RNAcentral.